Molecule: ribosomal RNA, 1372 nt
Filed under: uncultured bacterium
Lineage: Bacteria
Description: bacterial SSU rRNA
Rfam family: Bacterial small subunit ribosomal RNA
Source: RNAcentral
GAUGAACGCUGGCUGCGUGCCUAAUACAUGCAAGUCGAGCGAACGGACGAGAAGCUUGCUUCUCUGAUGUUAGCGGCGGACGGGUGAGUAACACGUGGAUAACCUACCUAUAAGACUGGGAUAACUUCGGGAAACCGGAGCUAAUACCGGAUAAUAUUUUGAACCGCAUGGUUCAAAAGUGAAAGACGGUCUUGCUGUCACUUAUAGAUGGAUCCGCGCUGCAUUAGCUAGUUGGUAAGGUAACGGCUUACCAAGGCAACGAUGCAUAGCCGACCUGAGAAGGUGAUCGGCCACACUGGAACUGAGACACGGUCCAGACUCCUACGGGAGGCAGCAGUAGGGAAUCUUCCGCAAUGGGCGAAAGCCUGACGGAGCAACGCCGCGUGAGUGAUGAAGGUCUUCGGAUCGUAAAACUCUGUUAUUAGGGAAGAACAUAUGUGUAAGUAACUGUGCACAUCUUGACGGUACCUAAUCAGAAAGCCACGGCUAACUACGUGCCAGCAGCCGCGGUAAUACGUAGGUGGCAAGCGUUAUCCGGAAUUAUUGGGCGUAAAGCGCGCGUAGGCGGUUUUUUAAGUCUGAUGUGAAAGCCCACGGCUCAACCGUGGAGGGUCAUUGGAAACUGGAAAACUUGAGUGCAGAAGAGGAAAGUGGAAUUCCAUGUGUAGCGGUGAAAUGCGCAGAGAUAUGGAGGAACACCAGUGGCGAAGGCGACUUUCUGGUCUGUAACUGACGCUGAUGUGCGAAAGCGUGGGGAUCAAACAGGAUUAGAUACCCUGGUAGUCCACGCCGUAAACGAUGAGUGCUAAGUGUUAGGGGGUUUCCGCCCCUUAGUGCUGCAGCUAACGCAUUAAGCACUCCGCCUGGGGAGUACGACCGCAAGGUUGAAACUCAAAGGAAUUGACGGGGACCCGCACAAGCGGUGGAGCAUGUGGUUUAAUUCGAAGCAACGCGAAGAACCUUACCAAAUCUUGACAUCCUUUGACAACUCUAGAGAUAGAGCUUUCCCCUUCGGGGGACAAAGUGACAGGUGGUGCAUGGUUGUCGUCAGCUCGUGUCGUGAGAUGUUGGGUUAAGUCCCGCAACGAGCGCAACCCUUAAGCUUAGUUGCCAUCAUUAAGUUGGGCACUCUAAGUUGACUGCCGGUGACAAACCGGAGGAAGGUGGGGAUGACGUCAAAUCAUCAUGCCCCUUAUGAUUUGGGCUACACACGUGCUACAAUGGACAAUACAAAGGGCAGCGAAACCGUGAGGUCAAGCAAAUCCCAUAAAGUUGUUCUCAGUUCGGAUUGUAGUCUGCAACUCGACUACAUGAAGCUGGAAUCGCUAGUAAUCGUAGAUCAGCAUGCUACGGUGAAUACGUUCCCGGGUCU